This 254-nucleotide ribosomal RNA is filed under the name uncultured bacterium. Its description in RNAcentral is "partial 16S ribosomal RNA". It matches the Rfam family "Bacterial small subunit ribosomal RNA", at positions 524 to 776 of the family's 1533-position model. The record is from RNAcentral.
UACGUAGGCAGCAAGCGUUGUUCGGAGUUACUGGGCGUAAAGGGUGCGUAGGCGGCUCUGUAAGUAUGGUGUGAAAUCUCCCGGCUUAACUGGGAGGGUGCGCUAUAGACUGCGGGGCUCGAGUGUGGGAGAGGAAAGUGGAAUUCCUGGUGUAGCGGUGAAAUGCGUAGAUAUCAGGAGGAACACCGGUGGUGUAAACGGCUUUCUGGACCAUAACUGACGCUGAGGCACGAAAGCGUGGGGUAGCAAACAGG